GUAGUCUCGCACAGAUGCAUAUCAAUAAGCGGAGGAAAAGAAACUAACAAGGAUUCCCUAGUAACGGCGAGUGAAGCGGGAAGAGCUCAAAUUUGAAAUCUUAAAGGGUUUCCCUUUACGAAUUGUAGUUUAAAGAAGUGUUUUCUGUUGAGGUUUUGGUAAAAGUUCUUUGGAAUAGGACAUCAUAGAGGGUGAGAAUCCCGUAUUUGACCUUUACUUUCAACUUUGUGAUACACUUUCAAAGAGUCGGAUUGUUUGGGAAUGCAGUCCAAAAUGGGUGGUAAAUUUCAUCUAAAGCUAAAUAUUGGCGAGAGACCGAUAGCGAACAAGUACCGUGAGGGAAAGAUGAAAAGAACUUUGAAAAGAGAGUUAAACAGUACGUGAAAUUGUCAAAAGGGAAGCGUUUGACACCAGUGUUGUUUUUCUGAAAAUCAAUUAAAGAACUGUUUAUGCUAAGCUGUUUAGACUUUAUCAGCUAAUCUGUUUAGUUUUGAGCUUUUCUUUAAUGCACUUUUCAGUUAACAAGUCAACAUCAAUUUCUUUUGCUGUAAAAAAGCUUGAGGAAGGUGGCUUGAGAUUCGUCUUAAGUGUUUAUAGCCUCUUGCCUAUGCAGUCGGAGAGAUUGAGGUCUGCAGCGUAGAUCCUUCGGGGCUAAAUGCAUUUGUGCUAAGUUAUAGCAUUUUAUAGACAACUUGUUGACUAUGAUUUGUCUUGUAGCUUACUCGCUUAUGUUAUUUUACCUACGCUUAGGAUGUUGAUGUGAUACUGCGAGCA
This 774-nucleotide ribosomal RNA is filed under the name uncultured Neocallimastigales. RNAcentral's name for it is "partial large subunit ribosomal RNA". It matches the Rfam family "Eukaryotic large subunit ribosomal RNA", at positions 24 to 646 of the family's 3401-position model. Lineage: Eukaryota; Fungi; Neocallimastigomycota; Neocallimastigomycetes; Neocallimastigales. The record is from RNAcentral.